Molecule: ribosomal RNA, 465 nt
Filed under: Vreelandella stevensii
Lineage: Bacteria; Pseudomonadati; Pseudomonadota; Gammaproteobacteria; Oceanospirillales; Halomonadaceae
Description: partial 16S ribosomal RNA
Rfam family: Bacterial small subunit ribosomal RNA
Source: RNAcentral
CCUACGGGGGGCAGCAGUGGGGAAUAUUGGACAAUGGGGGCAUCCCUGAUCCAGCCAUGCCGCGUGUGUGAAGAAGGCCCUCGGGUUGUAAAGCACUUUCAGUGAGGAAGAACGCCUGGUGGUUAAUACCCAUCAGGAAAGACAUCACUCACAGAAGAAGCACCGGCUAACUCCGUGCCAGCAGCCGCGGUAAUACGGAGGGUGCGAGCGUUAAUCGGAAUUACUGGGCGUAAAGCGCGCGUAGGUGGCUUGAUAAGCCGGUUGUGAAAGCCCCGGGCUCAACCUGGGAACGGCAUCCGGAACUGUCAAGCUAGAGUGCAGGAGAGGAAGGUAGAAUUCCCGGUGUAGCGGUGAAAUGCGUAGAGAUCGGGAGGAAUACCAGUGGCGAAGGCGGCCUUCUGGACUGACACUGACACUGAGGUGCGAAAGCGUGGGUAGCAAACAGGAUUAGAUACCCGGGUAGUC